CAUUGCAAUGUUGACAGAAGGUGCAUCACCUAUUUUAACUCACUCGGAAAGACGGAGUGUCAAUGCCAAGCAAUUUGCUCAACACUGGUGUACAUUUGCAACCUCAAGGGGAGUUAAAGGAGAGUGGGACCUCAAAACCACAAAACACAGUUUGCAACCGAUUCGGUGUCAUGUGGUAUCCACACACUUGCAUUUGCCACUGAAAAGGCUGGUGGCUUCAUUACCUCGUUCCAGUGCCCUGUAAUACAACAAGAGAGGAUCCGCCUGGCCUCACUUUUGUUUCAAUCCAUAGACGGCAUGUACCUGUGGGGCAGUGAUGCAUGUAGAGUGUGCAGCCACACCCAUGUGCUACAUAUGUCAAGGUUGGCAAAAAAGAUGUUCCACCCAAUGUGCUUCAGCAGCCUAGAAAGGGAAAGACAAAGGUGACAAUAUUCAGCACUUUAACAGAGGGAGAGGCAGAAGAUCUUGCCAGGGGGUUUGGAAUGGCACUGGCCAAACAUGUGCCAAAAGACAAACUACUCCCAGGGAUUCCUGAAGAGGACAUCCCAGCAACACUGUAGGUUCUCUUUAUUUGGAAUCAUAUCUUCUAAUAUAUUGGUGGCUGCACCUCUAUUUUCUAUGAGAAAAAUAACCAUUUUGGAGUUAGUUAAGAUGAAAAAAUAAGCAUUAAAUAUCUUGUUCAGUCUGACAUCCGUAUCUUUUGAAAAAGAUGGAAACCCAUCUGCAUCUGCUAAACAUUUAAAUACAUUUUAAGGACUGGGCAUCUUGGAUGUCUAAAAGUUGCUUGCUUUUAAGGGCCAGAUUUACUUAGUGUACAAACAGUGAUUUACUUACAGUG
Tachysurus vachellii is the source of this 838-nucleotide long non-coding RNA. RefSeq lists it as uncharacterized. The record is from RefSeq and is a predicted model, not a curated record. The transcript is spliced from 5 exons. NCBI's taxonomy places the organism in Eukaryota, Metazoa, Chordata, Actinopteri, Siluriformes, Bagridae.